ACUGCUCAGUAACACGUGGCUAACCUGCCCUCAGGACGGAGACAACCCCGGGAAACUGGGGCUAAUCCCCGAUAGAUGAAGAGCCCUGGAAUGAGCCUUCAUCCAAAAGACGAUUAGGCUAUGCUUCUAGUCGUCGCCUAAGGAUGGGGCCGCGACCGAUCAGGUUGUUGGUGAGGCAACGGCUCACCAAGCCUUUAACCGGUGCGGGCCGUGAGAGCGGGAGCCCGGAGAUGGGCACUGAGACAAGGGCCCAGGCCCUACGGGGCGCAGCAGUCGCGAAAACUUUGCAAUACACGAAAGUGUGACAGGGCUAUCCCGAGUGCCAUCCGCUGAGGAAGGCUUUUACCCAGUCUAGAACGCUGGGGGAAUAAGGAGAGGGCAAGUCUGGUGUCAGCCGCCGCGGUAAUACCAGCUCUCCGAGUGGUGUGGAUGUUUAUUGGGCCUAAAGCAUCCGUAGCUGGCUGAGUUAGUCCCUUGUUAAAUCCACCGAAUUAAUCGUUGGAUUGCGGGGGAUACUGCUCGGCUAGGGGACGAGAGAGGCAGACGGUAUUUCCGGGGUAGGGGUGAAAUCCUAUAAUCCCGGGAAGACCACCAGUGGCGAAGGCUGUCUGCUAGAACGCGCCCGACGGUGAGGGAUGAAAGCUGGGGGAGUGAACCGGAUUAGAUACCCGGGUAGUCCCAGCUGUAAACGAUGCAGGCUAGGUGUUUGGACGGCCACGUGCCGUUCUAGUGCCGCAGGGAAGCUGUUAAGCCUGCCGCCUGGGGAGUACGAUCGCAAGAUUGAAACUUAAAGGAAUUGGCGGGGGAGCAC
RNAcentral lists this ribosomal RNA (811 nucleotides) under uncultured archaeon. Its description in RNAcentral is "bacterial SSU rRNA". It matches the Rfam family "Archaeal small subunit ribosomal RNA", at positions 85 to 879 of the family's 1478-position model. The record is from RNAcentral.